UACAGAGGGUGCUAGCGUUGUUCGGAAUCAUUGGGCGUAAAGGGCGUGUAGGCGGUUUGUUAAGUCAUGUGUGAAAUCCCUCGGCUCAACCGGGGAACGACGCAUGAAACUGGCAAGCUAGAGUACCAAAGAGGGGGGUGGAAUUUCCGGUGUAGCGGUGAAAUGCGUAGAUAUCGGGAGGAACACCUGUGGCGAAGGCGGCCCCCUGGUUGGAUACUGACGCUGAUACGCGAAAGCGUGGGGAGCAAACAGG
This 253-nucleotide ribosomal RNA is filed under the name uncultured bacterium. RNAcentral's name for it is "partial 16S ribosomal RNA". It matches the Rfam family "Bacterial small subunit ribosomal RNA", at positions 524 to 776 of the family's 1533-position model. The record is from RNAcentral.